GACGAACCACACAAACGUUAUUCGGAAUUACUGGGCUUAAAGGGUGCGUAGGCGGCGCGGAAAGUUGGGUGUGAAAUCCCUCGGCUCAACCGAGGAACUGCGCUCAAUACUACCGUGCUCGAGGGAGACAGAGGUGAGCGGGACUUAGGGUGGAGCGGUGAAAUGCGUAGAUAUCUGGAGGAACACCGGUGGCGAAGGCGACAUCCUGGACCAACACUGACGCUGAGGAGCGAAAGCCAGGGGAGCAAACGGG
Molecule: ribosomal RNA, 253 nt
Filed under: uncultured bacterium
Lineage: Bacteria
Description: partial 16S ribosomal RNA
Rfam family: Bacterial small subunit ribosomal RNA
Source: RNAcentral